Molecule: non-coding RNA, 99 nt
Organism: Bombyx mori (domestic silkworm)
Lineage: Eukaryota; Metazoa; Arthropoda; Insecta; Lepidoptera; Bombycidae
Source: RefSeq, marked provisional
ACGACAAUGAGCGACCGGUCGGAGUGGUAUGGCGUUCUAACCCGACAACCUGGUUCUGGUCUUUUACCUCUCCCUGGUUCGUCAUCUCUCCCUGCUCGA